RNAcentral lists this long non-coding RNA (209 nucleotides) under Jatropha curcas. Its description in RNAcentral is "long non-coding RNA (JCUR_LNC002979)". The record is from RNAcentral. Lineage: Eukaryota; Viridiplantae; Streptophyta; Magnoliopsida; Malpighiales; Euphorbiaceae.
AGUUUCUAAAGCAUGAUAUGUUGGUGUAUAUAUGUUAAUGCAUUUUAAAAUUUAAUGAUUUUAUGUGUAUAAAUGAUUUUUAAGUAUGUUGCCAUCACAACAUGAGUUUGUUGUGUUUUAUGAGCACCACUGAGUUUUAUACUCAGCGGGUUGAUUUUAUCACGCGCAAGUUGGAGACUGUGCUUGCUGUUUAAAAACCUGAAGAGUAG